RNAcentral lists this ribosomal RNA (605 nucleotides) under uncultured fungus. Its description in RNAcentral is "eukaryotic LSU rRNA". It matches the Rfam family "Eukaryotic large subunit ribosomal RNA", at positions 40 to 647 of the family's 3401-position model. The record is from RNAcentral. Lineage: Eukaryota; Fungi.
AUAUCACUAAGCGGAGGAAAAGAAAUUAACGAAGAUUGCCUCAGUAGCGGCGAGCGAAGUGGCAAAAGCUCAAUUCGAAUCUGUGGCCCACGGCCAUUGAAUUGUAAUCUAAAGGGGUUAACAAAAGGGGAAGUUGAGGUAUAAGUUGCUUGGAACAGCACGCCAAAGAGGGUGACAGCCCCGUAUUCGACCUCGAUUGAACCGAAUGUUGGCUUCAAAGAGUCGGGUUGUUUGGGAUUGCAGCCCUAAAUGGGAGAUAAACUUCUUCUAAGGCUAAAUAUUGAUGGGAAACCGAUAGCGAACAAGUACUGUGAAGGAAAGAUGAAAAGAACUUUGAAAAGAGGGUUAAAAGACUUGAAAUCGUUGAGAAGGAAGUGGUAGAAGUGGAUUACUUGGCUGUGAAGCAAGCAACGUGUGAAAGCCUAAGUGGGUAAGGUACCUCCAAAGGCCGAACUACUUAGCGUGUAAACUUGUUGUGAUUUCACAGCUAAAAGGCAGGACUGUGUUCAGGACUUCGGAAUCAGUAUGGGAGGAGGCCGUAGCAAUACUGACCUCCCAUACAAAACGGAGUAAGAGCACACUCUUGCCAAAACGGCUUCUACUGA